Molecule: long non-coding RNA, 1343 nt
Filed under: Triticum aestivum (bread wheat)
Lineage: Eukaryota; Viridiplantae; Streptophyta; Magnoliopsida; Poales; Poaceae
Description: long non-coding RNA (TAES_LNC028600)
Source: RNAcentral
UUCAGUUUCUCCAAUAUUCUUAUAAAUAACUUCUUCAUAUUUUACAAAUUUAAUCAAGGAUUUGAUCCAAUCCCACUAAAAAACUAUUUUGUACCAACUCUUCAAAGUCCUUUCACCUUUCCUAGCUCCAGGGAAGAAUAAGCUCAGUCCUUACUCAGCCUGUCUGUUGCUGAGUUUGUUCACAGACAUCUUCCUUACUUGAGUAGAUUGCUAAAGAAAUCAAGAAGUCUAGUUGUAAGCCACUUGUGCAAUUCACAGUGGCAUCUGCAUCAAGCCGAGGAGCGCGAUAAACAAGAGACGGCCACAGACAUAAAGGCAAGCAGAUUACAAACUACAAUUUCAAUCCUUGCCAGUUUUAUUGCGCCUGGCUGGCUUGGACCAUUGCCAGUUUCAUUACCAAUGAUCAGCAGCUUCCUUCAUCAUGUCCCUAUGAUGUUUUAUCCAAGAAGAGCCCCUUCCUUGUAUAAAGCAAAUCACCAAAACCACCACGUGAUGCUCCAAGUUACUUAUUUGAAACAAGCAAAACAUCAAGCUGGCUGCAUAUGACAAGUCCAAAACAUCAAUAGCUUGACUGGAAAAUCUGCCAGGUAAAGCAAUUAAAGUAGAAUUGAAUUGCAAAAGCAAGCAGUUCUUUCAACAGGCAUAUCCUCUACUAGAGACGCCUCUCCUCAGCUUCAAUCCUUUCUUUACCCACUGGUUUAAGUAUUGCAAAAAUAGCACAUAUAACCCUAAGUGAACCAUUUACCAAAACCAAGAUGACGAUAUUACAUUCAAAGGAUUCCACAAUAAUGUUAUCUCUUAUAAGAAAGAAAUGGUAACCUGAUUGGAAAACUUGUUUCUCUCUUCCAGAGUUUUCAGAGUACCAUAUCUUUUGUCUUUCAUUUCUAAUAACUCUCAUGGCCUGGGAAGAUUAUAUAUCAGGCACUUUGAUUAAUUAAUUAAUAGCAGUUCAAUUCAAGUUGUUCCAGACUCCGUGACCAAUCAGACUCAAUAUUAAGCUGGGAAAAAAAAAUUAAGCGAUUCAAGCAGGGACUUGAAUGCAUUCUUUGCUUCCUACAGUUUGAUUUUUUUUAAGGAAUAUAAGCUGCAUUCACAAAAGUAAAUGAGUUUCUCAUUCCUAAUUAACUUCUGUAGUAGGAUGAACAAGUGCCACUUACCUCAGACAUUGUUCACACUGUAAAGUGCAGAGAAAGAAUUAGAUCACUGGGCAAUAUUGGUAUUGUGGGGUUCAAAGAUAUUUCUAUUCACAUAGUUUAUACCUCUUAAAAGAAGUUGGUCUCAGAUGUAUAUCCAAAUCUGAGAUUUUGCUAUUCUUUUGUUCUACAUGCUGGAUAUCUACUUCA